RNAcentral lists this ribosomal RNA (497 nucleotides) under uncultured bacterium. RNAcentral's name for it is "partial 16S ribosomal RNA". It matches the Rfam family "Bacterial small subunit ribosomal RNA", at positions 28 to 507 of the family's 1533-position model. The record is from RNAcentral.
GAUGAACGCUGGCGGCGUGCCUAAUACAUGCAAGUCGAGCGAACGGACGAGAAGCUUGCUUCUCUGAUGUUAGCGGCGGACGGGUGAGUAACACGUGUAUAACCUACCUAUAAUACGGGUAUAACUUCGGGAAACCGGAGCUAAUACCGUAUAAUAUUUUGAUCCGCAUGGUUCAAAAGUGAAAUACGGUCUUGCUGUCACUUAUAGAUGGAUCCGCGCUGCAUUAGCUAGUUGUUAAGGUAACGGCUUACCAAGGCAAGGAUGCAUAGCCGACCUGAGAGGGUGGUCGGCCACACUGGAACUGGAACAGGGACCAGACUACUAAGGGAGGCAGCAGUAGGGAAUCUUCCGCAGUGGGCGAAAGCAUGACGGAGCAACGCCGCGUGAGUGAUGACGGUCUUCGGAUCGUAAAACUCUGUUAUUAGGGAAGAACAUAUGUGUAAGUAACUGUGCACAUCUUGACGGUACCUAAUAAGAAAGCCACGGCUAACUACGUG